GCAGGCACCUUUGUGGAUGAAGGAAGACAUCUCAUUGUGGUUUUGAUUUGCAUGUCUCUAAUGAAACUGAGCAUCUUUUCAUGGCCUUUAUUUGGCUGUUUGAUUUGGAAAAAUGUCUAUAGCCUUUUGUCCGUUUUUAAAUUCCAGCUUUGAGUUUUGUUUGUGUUUCUUUUUGAGACAGGGUCUCACUGCUACUCUGGCCUAGAACAAACAGAAAUUCACCUACUCCGCCUCCUAAAGUGCUAAAGGUCUUCACCCCCAUGCCUGGCUUGGUUUUAAACCUCUUUUUUUUGGUUUUAAAUUUUUAAGUGGCUUGGUUUUUGCUUUUUUUGAAACUGCAAACUUGAUAGGUAGCUGAGGACUGACUUGGGACUCCUCCCUCCCUUUGCUGCUUCUCACCACAUGCGGGGUGAGUGUGCAUCACCACAUCAGUCCUGUGUGUGUGUGUGUGUGUGUGUGUGUGUGUGUGUGUGUGUUAUUUUGUAUUGUUGAGUUGAGAGUUCUUAAUUUUAUAUAUGAUUUACAAGUAUUUUCUCUUAUUCUCUCUGCUCUUUUCACCUUUUUGUUGGUCCCUUGAAACACAGAUAGUUUACCUGUGAUGGUUUUGUGGCUUGUGCUUUUGAUAUUAGUUCCAAGGUUGGAAAAAUCCCCCCUUCCCUUUUUUUUUCCUCCAAGGUUGCAAAAAUUCCUUUGUUUUCUAACAGUUUUAUGGAUUUUACAUUUAGGUCUGUUAUUUUUUGUAUAUGGUUGUGAGGGCACCAGUCUCAUUCUUGGAACUUUACAGUUGUUUGGCCCCAUUUGUUGAAAAGAUGGUUUCUCUGGUAUCCUUGAAGGUCAGUUGCAGGGCAUUACCUCAGGAAUCUGUUAUUUGGUCUGUUGGCCAUCCUGUCUUCAUUAGUUUUGUAGUUAGGCUUGAAACCAGUACCAGGGGUCUGUCUCCCCCCACCCCCACCUCCGUUCUCAUUUUCAGGGUUGUGUUGGUCCCCUGGUGUUUCUAUGUGAAUUUUAGCAUCACUUGUCUGUUUUAAUGAAAAAGUUGAGCUUUGGAUAAGAACAGUUUGUAGAUCAGCUUAGAUAAUAUUUUAAUGACAUUAUUCUUUAUUUUUAUAUCUUUAUUCAUAAAUACUUUCUAGUUAUUUAGGCUUUUAAUUUUUUUCAAAGAUGUACUAUGUUUUAAGUACAUAAUUUGUACUUCUUUUUAAAAAUUCAUUCCUGAGUAUUCUGUGGUUUUGAUGCUAUUAGAAAUGGAAUUGUCUACUGCAUUAGUUGGUAAAAGAGAUAGAAACCAGGAGCUUAAAUAAUCAUAUUGAGCAUAUACUCCACCCAGCUAUCCCCAGUUCCCGCUGUCAGUGAAUUCAGAUAGGUUUACAUCCUCCUUUCUGAUCUUGCUGUGUUGGACCUAUUGACCGAGGUCUCCUUCCAUUUCACUUAAGACUUAGUAUUGUUGUAAUUUGUUUGUUUAUUUAAUUCUGUGUGUGUGUGGCUGUUUUGCCUGUAUGUAUGUCUGCCCGUGAAGGCAGAAGAAGGUGUUGGAUCUCCUGGAACUGGAGUUAGAGAUGGUUGUGAGCUGCCACCAAACAUGAGUCCUCUAAAGAACAGCUGGUUUUCUUAACCACUGUGCCAUAUCUCUAGCCCCUGUUGUUUUUGUCUGUUUCAUAAUAGUAUUGAAAAAGAAUGUUAAGACUGGUCAUGUUAAUCAUUUGUUACCACUGAUGUAAGCUGUGGGCUUUUCUGUAACUACCCUAUGUCUGUUUAAUGAAGUUUUCUUCUACAUCCAGUUUGAGUGCUUUUCUUUCUCUCUCUUUCUCUUUUUUAAAAAAUAUUUAAUAUGUAUGAGUAUACUGUAGCUGUCUUCAGACACACCAGAAGAGGGCAUCAGAUCUCAUUACAGAUGGUCGUGAGCCACCAUGUGGUUGCUGGGAAAUGAACUCAGGUCCUCUGGAAGAGCGGUCAGUGCUUAUAACCACUGAGCCAUCUCUCCAGCCCUGAUUGCUUUUCUUAGUGAUAGUGUUUUGAAUUUUUGUGACUACUGCUCUUGUAUACUGAUGCCAUCAGUAACUGGCUUCAUUCUUUUAACAUUGUAGUACACUGAUAUUUGUAUGUUUAACCAACCUUCCAUUCUUGAGAUGAAUCCUUUGAUAGGUUGGACUUCUUGUUGUCUGUCUGUCUGUCUUUUUUUUUUUUCUUUUUCUAAGACAAGGUUUCGCUGUGUAGUCUUGGCUGUCCUGAAACUUGCUGUGGAGACCAGGCUGGCUUGCAAGAGACCAGAGUGCUGGGGAUUAGAGAGGUGUGCCACCACACCCAGUGUGUUUGUGUUUCUAAUGGCUAUAAAUCUAUAUUCUUCCUGUAAUAGUGUUAUGUGUUUUUGGUAUGUGGUAUUUGACUUAGAAUCUGGGGGUGUUAGCUGUUGCUUUGGGGUGCAUCAGAUGCUGUAUUGUGCUUUCAGAGUUGUGUUUUGUAUUCAGUAACAUUUUGUCUAUAGUCCUGCUCAGCCUUCUUUCUAUCCUACCUAUCACUCAGUGUCUUGCAGUGAGUUUCAUGUAGCUAAUGAUUAGUGUACACUUGCUCUGUGCCUUCAGUUAGUACUUUAUCUGUUUUACAUAAUCUAAUCUUCACAACAACUUUUUCAGGGAUGUGCAGUUGGACUUCAUUAGUUACAGGAUAGAGGCUUAUGAGAUGUUAAAUAUGGUUUUAAGGCCACACAAGCUGCUGCUGGAUCUGGAGUUUAAGUUCUUCAUUUCUCGACAUGAACCCCCAAACUCUGCACUACAAGCUGUGCUUAAGAAGGGCUCCUUUGAUCUGGUCUUUGAAGCAAUAGUGUGUGGGUGGGAAAAGUGAAAGGAGUACAGUUACAGUGGCUUAGGAAGGGAAGGAAGCAGGGAUUGUUGUCUAAUUAAGACCCUCUGUGCCAGGGAGGACAGUUAAAGGAGAACUGGUUUUUUUUUUCCUGCACCAGUAAUUAGUUCUUUCUGGAACAGCGAGAUUAACAUCUAAAAUAAUUAGACCAUGCAUAUUGUUUAAUUGGAGGUCAAGGGUGAGGUCUGCAUUGGUUGGAAAGAAAUGUGAAGGAAAGUAGUAAUUGAGCUAAGCUUCAGAAAGAGGAUGGACUUAGAGAUUUAGUAGGCAGCUUGGGUUCUGGGUGAGCUUUAGGAUACAGCCUUGUACCUGGCAAACCUUGGAAGAGUGUCUUUUCAUAGUGAUGGGGAAUGAUAUUACUGCUGUAUUUCAGGGUUGUAGGUCCAAAAUAAAUAGUUUUAACACUGUACACUGUAGAGUGCUGCUUUCCUGAUGGUGGGAUAUCUGUUUUGACUAACGUCCUCAACCUUAACUUGCAUAAAUUUCCACCCUUUUGUAUGCAUAAUAUUGUUGCAACUUGCAAACAAGAUCCCUUCUACCCCUAAAAAUUUAUAUGUCUGUAUUCUAAAUUCAAAGGCAUUUUCUUAGUAAUUACAGUGCCAUUCUCAUAACUGGGGAAACAACACUAACAUUCAUGAUUACUAAUGC
This 3504-nucleotide long non-coding RNA is filed under the name Mus musculus (house mouse). Its description in RNAcentral is "long non-coding RNA chr7:123132188-123135692". Lineage: Eukaryota; Metazoa; Chordata; Mammalia; Rodentia; Muridae. The record is from RNAcentral.